RNAcentral lists this ribosomal RNA (1878 nucleotides) under Homocognata cf. vulgaris. Its description in RNAcentral is "SSU rRNA". It matches the Rfam family "Eukaryotic small subunit ribosomal RNA". Lineage: Eukaryota; Cercozoa. The record is from RNAcentral.
ACCUGGUUUAUCCUGCCAGUAGCAUAUGCUUGUCUCAAAGAUUAAGCCAUGCAUGUCUAAGUAUAAACACCUUUAUACUGUGAAACUGCGUACAGCUCAUUACAUCAGUUAUUAUUUCCUUGAAUGUCACUUACUACAUGGAUACCCGUAGUAAUUCUAGAGCUAAUACAUGCGUAGAGUCCCGACUUUUCGGAAGGGAUGUAUUUAUUAGAUUUCCAAGCCAGCCGGUGGGGGGGGCAACUCCUUCACUCUCAUGGUGAUUCAUAGUAACUUUAGCGAAUCGCUGGUUUCCAGCCGAUGGUUCAUUCAAGUUUCUGCCCUAUCAGCUUUGACGGUAAGGUAUUGGCUUACCGUGGCAGUGACGGGUAACGGGGGAUAAACGUUCGACUCCGGAGAGGGAGCCUGAGAAACGGCUACCACAUCCAAGGAAGGCAGCAGGCGCGCAAAUUACCCAAUCCUGACACAGGGAGGUAGUGACAAGAAAUACCGAUGCUGAGCGCGUAAGUGUUUGGCAAUCGGAAUGAGAGGCAAUUAAAUAGCGUUCUCGAAAGCAACUGGAGGGCAAGUCUGGUGCCAGCAGCCGCGGUAAUUCCAGCUCCAGGCGCGUAUUUUAAAAUUGUUGCAGUUAAAAAGCUCGUAGUUGGAUUUUUGUUGUGGUUGUUGGGGGGUUGUGGUGGUGCAUUUGUGCCUCCUCAUACCCUUCUACACACGACAUUCGUGGGUUGGCCGGCAGGGACUCCUCGGAGCACCCACCGGAACCACCUACCCACAUAAUACUUUGAGAAAAAGAAAGUGUUCCAAGCAGUCUUAACGACAUGAAUACAUUAGCAUGGAAUAUACACAACGGGCUUUUGUCCUUGUGGUUGGUUUUUGGACCGAGUCAUGAUUGAUAGGGACAGUUGGGGGUGCUCGUAUUCCGUGAGGACAGGUGAAAUUGAAUGAUCCACGGAAGACGAACUUUUGCGAAAGCAUUCACCAAGGAUGUCUUCUUUAAUCAAGAACGAAAGUUGGAGGAUCGAAGACGAUUAGAUACCGUCGUAGUUUCAACCAUAAACGAUGCCGACUCGAGGUUCGCCUUUGGUCUUUUGAGUGUAGUGGAGGCAACUCCACCACCUCAUUCCGACUGGGCGAGAAUCGUAAGAGAAAUCAAAGUCUUUGGGCUCCGGGGAGAGUAUGGUCGCAAGACUGACAUUUAAAGUAAAUGAGGGGAUCGUACCACCAGGAGUGGAGUGUGCGGUUCAAUUUGACCCAACCCGCGAAAACUUACCAGGUCCGGAUAUAGUGAGGAUAGACAGAUUUCAGCUCUUUCUUGAUUCUAUGGGUGGUGGUGCAUGGCCGUUGGCAGUUCGUGGAUUUGUGGUUUGUCUGGUUUAUUCCGAUAACGAACGAGACCUCAACCUUGACAUAUAUAACUAGUGUUUUAUAGUUUCGAUUAUACAAAUACUUCUUAGAGGGACAAUCGGUGUUGAAGCCGAGGGAAGUUUGAGGCAAUAACAGGUCCGUGAUGCCCUUAGAUGUUCUGGGCCACACGCGCGCUACACUGAUUCGUUCAUCAAGUUUUAUUGUGAUGGUAACAUUACAUUCCUGGUCUGAGAGGAUUGGGUACUCUUUGAACGCGGAUCGUGCUGGGGAUUGACCAUUGCAAUUAUUGGUCAUGAACGAGGAAUUCCUAGUAAACGCACUUCAUCAGAGUGCAUUGAUUACGUCCCUGUGAUUUGUACACACCGCCCGUCGCUGUUACCGAUUGAAUGGUUUAGUGAGCUGAGAGGAUUGGUUGUUCGGGCUUGCUCGGAUUGGCUGAGAAUUUUAUCAAACUUGACCCUUUAGAGGAAGCAAAAGUCGUAACAAGGUUUCCGUAGGUGAACCUGCGGAAGGAUC